CCUGAUGCAGCGACGCCGCGUGAGGGAUGACGGCCUUCGGGUUGUAAACCUCUUUCAGCAGGGACGAAGCGCAAGUGACGGUACCUGUAGAAGAAGGACCGGCCAACUACGUGCCAGCAGCCGCGGUAAUACGUAGGGUCCGAGCGUUGUCCGGAAUUACUGGGCGUAAAGAGCUCGUAGGUGGUUUGUCGCGUUGUUCGUGAAAACUCACAGCUUAACUGUGGGCGUGCGGGCGAUACGGGCAGACUUGAGUACUGCAGGGGAGACUGGAAUUCCUGGUGUAGCGGUGGAAUGCGCAGAUAUCAGGAGGAACACCGGUGGCGAAGGCGGGUCUCUGGGCAGUAACUGACGCUGAGGAGCGAAAGCGUGGGGAGCGAACAGGAUUAGAUACCCUGGUAGUCCACGCCGUAAACGGUGGGUACUAGGUGUGGGUUUCCUUCCUUGGGAUCCGUGCCGUAGCUAACGCAUUAAGUACCCCGCCUGGGGAGUACGGCCGCAAGGCUAAAACUCAAAGAAAUUGACGGGGGCCCGCACAAGCGGCGGAGCAUGUGGAUUAAUUCGAUGCAACGCGAAGAACCUUACCUGGGUUUGACAUGCACAGGACGUGCCUAGAGAUAGGUAUUCCCUUGUGGC
This 633-nucleotide ribosomal RNA is filed under the name Mycobacterium sp. So1Pw_1099. RNAcentral's name for it is "bacterial SSU rRNA". It matches the Rfam family "Bacterial small subunit ribosomal RNA", at positions 382 to 1027 of the family's 1533-position model. The record is from RNAcentral. Lineage: Bacteria; Bacillati; Actinomycetota; Actinomycetes; Mycobacteriales; Mycobacteriaceae.